GACGUACUUGGAAUGUAAUUGCAUCGUCUACAAGCCCUGUGAGUAUGCUAAUUCGAAGUUGAAGUUGCUGCAGAAACUAAUACUACAAAGCAGUCUGGCAGACAGCAGCUUCUUCAAAAGAAGAAACAUAACAGACAAUAUUUUGUAGAAAAGAAUGAUAACAUAAAUCAAAUAUGUUGGGAGAAAGUAAGCAGAUACAUCUCAAGGUGACAGGGAUUCAAGUAUUUUAAUGUGAAAACCAGUCACCAGUAAGGAAAAAAAAAA
Molecule: unclassified non-coding RNA, 264 nt
Filed under: Hevea brasiliensis (rubber tree)
Lineage: Eukaryota; Viridiplantae; Streptophyta; Magnoliopsida; Malpighiales; Euphorbiaceae
Source: RNAcentral